RNAcentral lists this ribosomal RNA (245 nucleotides) under uncultured bacterium. Its description in RNAcentral is "partial 16S ribosomal RNA". It matches the Rfam family "Bacterial small subunit ribosomal RNA", at positions 86 to 334 of the family's 1533-position model. The record is from RNAcentral.
AGAUGGCGACCGGCGCACGGUGAGUAACACGUAUCCAACCUGCCGAUAACUCGGGGAUAGCCUUUCGAAAGAAAGAUUAAUACCCGAUGGUAUAAUCAGACCGCAUGGUUUGAUUAUUAAAGAAUUUCGGUUAUCGAUGGGGAUGCGUUCCAUAGGCAGUUGGUGAGGUAACGGCUCACCAAACCUUCGAUGGAUAGGGGUUCUGAGAGGAAGGUCCCCCACAUUGGAACUGAGACACGGUCCAA